Molecule: long non-coding RNA, 209 nt
Organism: Choloepus didactylus (southern two-toed sloth)
Lineage: Eukaryota; Metazoa; Chordata; Mammalia; Pilosa; Megalonychidae
Exons: 3
Source: RefSeq, a predicted model, not a curated record
AGAUCCUAAACAUAUGGCAACAUGGAUGAACCUUGAAGAUAAUGCUGGUGAAACAGCCCAUCUCUGCAAAUAAACUGAUCAACCUCCCCCGAGACAUGGGACAGGACCCCCCAGGUUUGCUGCUCAAAUGGUUAAACAGAAGUUCAAUUCCUUUACCCUGGAAUCUAUCUGACUUUCAUCUGGCCAUGUCUGACUCACCAUCAGUUACU